This 245-nucleotide ribosomal RNA is filed under the name uncultured bacterium. Its description in RNAcentral is "partial 16S ribosomal RNA". It matches the Rfam family "Bacterial small subunit ribosomal RNA", at positions 524 to 768 of the family's 1533-position model. The record is from RNAcentral.
UACGUAGGAUCCGAGCGUUGUCCGGAAUUACUGGGUGUAAAGGGCGUGUAGGUGGGCUUUUAAGUCGGUGGUGAAAUCCUGCAGCUCAACUGCAGAAUUGCCCUCGAUACUGAGAGCCUUGAGUGCGGCAGAGGGAGAUGGAAUUCAUGGUGUAGCGGUGAAAUGUGUAGAUAUCAUGAAGAACACCGGUAGCGAAGGCGGUCUCCUGGUCCGUAACUGACACUGAGGCGCGAAAGCGUGGGGAG